RNAcentral lists this ribosomal RNA (405 nucleotides) under uncultured bacterium. RNAcentral describes it as "bacterial SSU rRNA". It matches the Rfam family "Bacterial small subunit ribosomal RNA", at positions 355 to 776 of the family's 1533-position model. The record is from RNAcentral.
CGGGGAAUCUUGCGCAAUGGGCGAAAGCCUGACGCAGCGACGCCGCGUGGGGGAAGAAGGCCUUCGGGUUGUAAACCCCUUUUGCCAGGGAAGAGGAAGGACGGUACCUGGCGAAAAAGCCCCGGCUAACUACGUGCCAGCAGCCGCGGUAAUACGUAGGGGGCAAGCGUUACCCGGAUUCACUGGGCGUAAAGGGCAUGUAGGCGGCCUGGUACGUCCUCGGUGCAAGCUCUCGGCUCAACUGAGAGAGGUCCGAGGAUACGGCCAGGCUAGAGGGCAGUAGAGGCGAGCGGAAUUCCUGGUGUAGCGGUGAUAUGCGUAGAGAUCAGGAGGAAUACCAGAGGCGAAAGCGGCUCGCUGGGCUGUCCCUGACGCUGAGGUGCGAGAGCGUGGGGAGCAAACCGG